RNAcentral lists this long non-coding RNA (5066 nucleotides) under Oncorhynchus kisutch (coho salmon). Its description in RNAcentral is "lncRNA (ENSOKIG00005047879.1)". The record is from RNAcentral. Lineage: Eukaryota; Metazoa; Chordata; Actinopteri; Salmoniformes; Salmonidae.
AAUUCAUGUUGUGUUGUCAAUGUUGAGCUACCAGAUCUAUUGAAAUGAGAUCAGUGCGUGACUUGGACAGGAGCUGAGUACCAUCACCUCAAAUGUAUAUUGUUUGAGCUCAUGUUCCUCUUAUAGAAUAUUAGCUCAACAGUAUUGUGUAGCUCCUGCACCUAGAUUUAAAGAAUAUUUUUUGAGAGUAAAGAAAGUGCCAGAACUGAUAAGACAAUAACUUUAGUCUUUUUCUCUUUAUUACUACAGGCCGACUCAGAUUAAGUCUGAGGCCGGUAACAUAAACAGUGAGGACAAACGCAGCCUGCCUCUCUCCUUCCAAACUGAGUCCAAACCUACAGUCACUGGGUCCUGAUUGUGACAGUGGAGCCCAGUUUGCACUACAGGAUCCAGAGAUGGCAUCAGUGAAGCUGGAAGACUGCAGUCCAACAAUGGAGCUGAAUAUUGACAUUAAAGAUGAAGAAGAGGAGGAGAAGAUUGGGGGAUCUGUUAGUCAUGGUAUGAGGCCGGUAACAUCAACAGUGAGGACAAACCCAGCCUGCCUCUCUCCUUCCACAGUGAGUCCAAACCUACAGUCACUGGGUCCUGAUUGUGACAGUGGAGCCCAGUUUACACUGCAGGAUCCAGAGAUGGCAUCAGUGAAGCUGGAAGACUGCAGUCAAACACUGGAGCUGAAUGUCAACAUUAAAGAUGAAGAAGAAGACGAGGAGAAGAUUGGGAAAUCUGUUUCUCAUGGACGACUAGAAUUAAGUCUGAAGCCGGUAACAUCAACAGUGAGGACAAACCCAGCCUGCAUCUCUCCUUCCACACUGAGUAGGAACCUACAGUCACUGGGUCCUGAUUGUGACAGUAGAGCUCAGUUUGCUCUGCAGGAUCCAGAGAUGGCAUCAGUGAAGCUCGAAUGCGGUCAAACACUGGAGAAGAUUGUCAACAUUAAAGAUGAAGAAGAGGAGGAGCAGAUUGGGAAAUCUCUUUCUCAUGGUAAGAGCAGGUUAUAUCUAACAAAGUUUGUUGUUCAUUCCAACUUCUCACUGUGCAGGAAAAGUUGCAGUAGAACUGUUUCAUGAUGAACUGUUUCAAUGAGAAGGUAGAUGUUAUUUCAUGCUACUGACACUUGCAUGGUUUGACAUCAGUAUUGCCACCAUUUGUUUUAUUUACUGAGCUGUCUGGAGUGAUCAGAGAGUAGACUAAAGAAGUGAAGUAGACAAACUGCCAGUGUUUUAAAGUUCUAUGAAAUUAGUUUGUGUAGUUACUAACCCUUGUGAUAGUGAGUGGAGGACUCUAACCCACUUUUAGAAUAGUUUUAUUCCACUAUAUUGUACAGCCUACUGAUAUGAAUACAUAUGUCACCCGGUACAGACAGAAGAGGACUGGCCACCCCUCUGGGUCUGGUUCCUCUCUACCCUGCAGGACCCUGCUUUCUAGGGAGUUUUUCCUGGCCACUGUGCUUCUACAUCAGCAUUGCUCAUUGGGGAUUUUAGACUGGGUUUCUGUUAUGCACUUUGAUAUUUGCUGAUGUAAAACGGGCUUCAUAAUGUACAUUUGAUUGACAUGUAUAUCACACCAGCUGACUGCUUCUUCUGAUGUUGUUCACACAGGAGACCAUGUUGAGACAUUCUCUACAUCCAGAGAGAAAGAGCAGGAAGAUCAUGGAGCUAAGAGGUCUCACCACUGCCCACAUUGUGAUGAGAUUUUCCCAAUUCUAUCAAAGCUAAAAAUACACACAGGAGAGGAUCCGUAUUCCUGUACUGACUGUGGGAAGAGAUUCACAACAUCAAGGGCUCUGACAGUUCAUCAGAGAGUGCACCCUGGAGAGAAGCCUUACUCCUGCCCUGACUGUGGAAAGAUUUUCUCUCGACUGGGCCACUUAAAAAGACACAAACAUAUACAUACAGGAGUGAAGCCUUACUCUUGCUCUGACUGUGUAAAAUGCUACACAACAUCAUCUGAGCUAAAACUUCAUCAGAGAGUGCACACUGGAGAGAAGCCUUACUCCUGCUAUGACUGUGGGAAGAGUUUCUCUCGACAGGGUUUUUUAAAAGCACAUGAACUUAUACAUACAGGAGUGAAGCCUUAUUCCUGCUCUGACUGUGGGAAGAUAUUCUCUCAACUGGGCCACUUAAAAAGACAUGAACGUAUACAUACAGGAGUGAAGCCUUACUCCUGCUCUGACUGUGGGAAGAUUUUCUCUCAACUGGGCCACUUAAAAAGACAUGAACGUAUACAUACAGGAGAGAAGCCUUACUCCUGCUCUGACUGUGGGAAGAUUUUCUCUCAACUGGGCCACUUAAAAAGACAUGAACGUAUACAUACAGGAGUGAAGCCUUACUCCUGCUCUGACUGUGUAAAAUGCUUCACAACAUCAACUGAGCAAAAAGUCCACCACAGAACACACACAGGAGAGAAGCCUUACUCCUGCUCUGACUGUGUAAAAUGCUUCACAACAUCAACUGAACUAAAAGUCCAUCAGAGAACACACACAGGCGAGAAGCCUUACUUCUGCUCUGACUGUGGAAAGAGUUUCUCUCAAUUGUGCCACUUAAAAAGACACCAAGGUAAACAUGAAGGAGAGAAGCCUUGCCACUGAUCUGACUGUUGAAAAUGUUUUAAAACAGCCAAGCUAAAAGGUCAUCAGAGAACAGACACAGGAGAGAAGCCUUAUAACUCUUCUUAAUUUGCCAAGAGUAACUUGAUUGAAAGUCAAAGUAUUUGGUUGUAAAUAUACCUUAGUAUCAAAAGUAAAAGUGAAUCAUUUAAAAUUCCUUAAAUGAACCUUUACGCGAUGGGUGUCCCUUAACCGGGACGGUUGUUGCUAACUUCUCCAAUGUGACUAGAAUUAUGUUGUAUACAACAGCCAACUUUCCAGGACAUAGACAUGUCUUUACAGUGGGGCAAAAAAGUAUUUAGUCAGCCACCAAUUGUGCAAGUUCUCCCACUUAAAAAGAUGAGAGGCCUGUAAUUUUCAUCAAAGGUACACUUCAACUAUGACAGACAAAAUGAGAAAAAAAAUCCAGAAAAUCACUUUGUAGGCUUUUUUAAGGAAUUUAUUUGCAAAUUAUGGUGGAAAAUAAGUAUUUGGUCACCAACAAACAAGCAAGAUUUCUGGCUCUCGCAGACCUGUAACUUCUUCUUUAAGAGGCUCCUCUGUCCUCCACUCGUUACCUGUAUUAAUGGCACCUGUUUGAACUUGUUAACAGUAUAAAAUACCCUGUCCACAACCUCAAACAGUCACACUCCAAACUCCACUAUGGCCAAGACCAAAGAGCUGUCAAAGCUGUCAAAAUUGUAGACCUGCACCAGGCUGGGAAGACUGAAUCUGCAAUAGGUAAGCAGCUUAGUUUGAAGAAAUCAACUGUGGGAGCAAUGAUUAGGAAAUGGAAAACAUACAAGACCACUGAUAAUCUCCCUCGAUCUGGGGCUCCACGCAAGAUCUCACCCCAUGGGGUCAAAAUGAUCACAAGAACGGUGAGCAAAAAUUCCAGAACCACACGGGGGGAUCUAGUGAAUGACCUGCAGAGAGCUGGGACCAAAGUAACAAAGCCUACCAUCAGUAACACACUACGCCGCCAUGGAAUCAAAUCCUGCAGUGCCAGACGUGUCCCCCUGCUUAAGCCAGUACAUGUCCAGGCCCGUCUGAAGUUUGCUAGAGAGCAUUUGGAUGAUCCAGAAGAAGAUUGGGAGAAUGUCAUAUGGUCAGAUGAAACCCAAAGAUAACUUUUUGGUAAAAACUCGUCGUGUUUGUAGGACAAAGAAUGCUGAGUUGCAUCCAAAGAACACCAUACUUACUGUGAAGCAUGGGGGUGGAAACAUCAUGCUUUGGGGCUGUUUUUCUGCAAAGGGACCAGGACGACUGAUCCGUGUAAAGGAAAGAAUGAAUGGGGCUAUGUAUCGUGAGAUUUUGAGUGAAAACCUCCUUCCAUCAGCAAGGGCAUUGAAGAUGAAACGUGGCUGGGUCUUUCAGCAUGACAAUGAUCCCAAACACACCGCCCGGGCAACGAAGGAGUGGCUUCGUAAGAAGUAUGUCAAAGUCCUGGAGUGGCAGUGCCAGUCUCCAGAUCUCAACCCCAUAGAAAAUCUUUGGAGGGAGUUGAAAGUCCGUGUUGCCCAGCAACAGCCCCAAAACAUCACUGCUCUAGAGGAGAUCUGCAUGGAGGAAUGGGCCAAAAUACCAGCAACAGUGUGUGAAAACUUACAGAAAACGUUUGGCCUCUGUCAUUGCCAACAAAGGGUAUAUAACAAAGUAUUGAGAAACUUUUGUUAUUGACCAAAUACUUAUUUUCCACCAAAAUUUGCAAAUAAAUUCAUUAAAAAUCCUACAAUGUGAUUUUCUGGAUUUUUUUUCUCUCAUUUUGUCUGUCAUAGUUGAAGUGUUACAGGCCUCUCAUCUUUUUAAGUGGGAGAACUUGCACAAUUGGUGGCUGACUAAAUACUUUUUUGCCCCACUGUAUAUAGGCAGAAAGCUUAAAUUCUUGUUAAUCUUCUGCAGUGUCCAAUUUAACAGUAGCUAUUACAGUGACAAAAUACCGUGCUAUUUUUUGAGGAGAGUGCACAACUUUUAUCAUGGCAACUGGUAUAAUACAUUCACCUCUGAAGGUCAAUAAUGUACUUGCAUUCAGUAAUAUUGCUCUGAUUUGUCAUCCUGAGGGAGAUUAAAUAAUAAAAAGAUCAAAUGUAGCAUAGUUUAAUUUGCUUAAAUUGUAUUUUUAUGUUCAAAUGUAGCAACUGGUUCUACAUUUUGAACCCCUGUUGUCUCUGGCUCCACACCCACCCUGCCCAGCCAUCUAGCUGUGGAAGUUAGUGAAUAAGCUAAUGAUCCAUCAUGUAUAAAAUUCCUGUCGUGUGUAAACUUAAAUGUUUUAUUACCAUAGCAUUUUUAUAUGUUCUCUAUAGUUUUGUACUUAAAUGUAUCAAUUGACCAAUUCAGCACAUUUGGGGAAACUCCUGGCAGACUUGAUGCAGUGCAGUAAUGUAAUUCUUUACUGGAUCAGUCAGAAACUUUGCACACUGCAAAAAUCUAAAUUACACCUAGACUCCUAUCUGAAAGUAUGUAUUUUCCUGUUAUUUUC